AUGGAGUGUGGUCUCCGUGCCAACGAGCUAUGGGACGCUGUCGACCCAGGAGGUGACGCGUUCAAGAAGGAGGGAGCCGAGCACCGGAAGGAUCGGCAGGCGGCGUCAGCGAUUUACUCGGUGAUGCCGAUGGAUGUCCUCCAGCACCUAAUCGUCAAAGCAACGGCGAAGGAGGUGUGGGAUACGCUGAAGCUCAUGUUCGAGGGACACACCCGUGUCAAGCAAGCCAAUCUCCAAACUCUCCUAAGGAACUACGAGACUUUGGUCAUGGGCGAUGAUGAGUCCGUGGAUGCAUUCGCUUCACGGGUGGCUACUCUCGUCAAUCGGAUUCGCACGCUUGGAGAGAACCUAACAGAGGCCUCGGUUGUCCGGCGGUUCUUGCGUGCAGCCCCUCCCCGGUACCUGCACAUUGUCACGGCGUUCGAGCAGUGCGUCGAUCUCGCGACUCUCUCCAUCGACGAUCUUGUCGGACGGUACAAGGCUCAUGAUGAGCGUAUGCGGUACAGUCUUGGGGACGGGAGGAGCGACGAGCUUGUGAUGCUCACGAAGGCACAGUGGAUUGCCCUAGAAAAGCAAGGCGGAUCCAUGAGCAGUAGCAAGAAGAAGGGGAAGCAGCGUUCGACGAGAAAGAACUUCGCCGACUCGGACGACGACUCAGAUGAUGAGGCUGCACCAGCACCACCGAGGAGGAAGUUUGACAUCAGGAAAGUG
RNAcentral lists this ribosomal RNA (711 nucleotides) under Triticum aestivum (bread wheat). RNAcentral's name for it is "partial small subunit ribosomal RNA". The record is from RNAcentral. Lineage: Eukaryota; Viridiplantae; Streptophyta; Magnoliopsida; Poales; Poaceae.